CCUGCUUUAAUUUGUUAAAUUAGAAAUAACAUUAACAAAAACAAACAAAAAGAAAGAAACUGGCUGAAAAAAAGCGUUCUUUAUAGUAUUUUGUUGUUUCCCGAACACCGUAGUCCGUGAUUUCCGCAUUGCUGAUGAUUGACAGUGUUUUUUGACGAAUGAAAAUCGUCCUUCUGGUUACGCUGUAUCUAGUCAUGGUAGGUUGAGUAGUAGUUUAUAGCGUUACUAGGCAGCGCUAACGGAGCUUAACCAAUUUAGAUUUUACUGAUGUACGCAGAAAACAGUGCCAUAUAACAAUAUAUUUAAUUCAAAUUUACCAAAAGUUAUCUAUAAAUAGGUAAAUACACAGCCACCCUGGCUUCCUCAAGGUAAGUUGGUUGUUUUCGCUAAUUUUGAAGCACGUAGCUAAAUGAUACGCAGCUUGAGGUUGUAGAAUUUAAGAAAAAAAUUUCUAUUUGGGAUUUUUUUUUUUAAGCGAAUUUCGAGAAAAACUGGAGAAAAAAAGGCGUAAUUUGCAAGAAACUCUGGGGGGAAACAAAAAAGAUGACCUACAGGUACAGUUAUGUUUAUUAUUUCUACAAAAACAUUAAUAUCAAGGCUGGGACUCAGUGAAUCGGUUUGACUCUACAGUCCCACAAUCUCUAACGUGUCCUAACAUGACGCAGGGGGAGUCGUCCUCCUUCAUAACACUAACGAGCUUCCUUUCUUGUCUGAACUGUCCUAAACAGGCUUUGGUGUCCGACAAGCCGAGCGUGAGGAAGAGGCAGACUGCGAUGAAGGACACUGAAGACAGUGAGGAAGACUCAGGAGAGACUCUGAAACGCACACUGAGGGCUCAGAGGCAGAGGCGAAGGAGAAAAGUGCUUUCUUCUGUUGUUUUUCUCAGUCAGUCUUCAGUCAUUCCUGUGUUAUACAUACUUGUCGGUCUCUCUGUUUCUUUAUUAGCUGCUUGAGCAGUCUUCAGUCAAGGAGUCUCAACAUGGUGAUGAAGAUGAAGAGGAGAUUUCUCAUGUUCAGGACCAAAGUGUAAACGAGGAACCAGCUGAGAAGACAGUGGUUUUGAGGCCUCCAUCUGGUUCUCGCAGAGGUUUGUGGCUUUUUCUGAGUUAAGUGACUUUUUGUGGAGGAUCUGAGUGGUUUUCACUUAAGUUAAAGGCAUCUUUCAGCUCAAGUUUAUGGUCCAAAUACAAA
This 1191-nucleotide long non-coding RNA is filed under the name Oryzias javanicus (javanese ricefish). Its description in RNAcentral is "lncRNA (ENSOJAG00000007455.1)". Lineage: Eukaryota; Metazoa; Chordata; Actinopteri; Beloniformes; Adrianichthyidae. The record is from RNAcentral.